Molecule: ribosomal RNA, 246 nt
Filed under: uncultured bacterium
Lineage: Bacteria
Description: partial 16S ribosomal RNA
Rfam family: Bacterial small subunit ribosomal RNA
Source: RNAcentral
GCAAGUCGAACGAUGAAGCCUAGCUUGCUUGGUGGAUUAGUGGCGAACGGGUGAGUAAUAUAUAGAUGACGUGCCUCCGAGACCGGGAUAGCCAGUGGAAACGAUGAUUAAUACUGGAUACUCCUUCUGAUUCUAAUAUCAGUCGGGAAAGUUUUUCGCUCGGAGAUCGGUCUAUAUCCUAUCAGUUAGUUGGUGAGGUAAUGGCUCACCAAGGCAAUGACAGGUAGCGGGUUUGAGAGGAUGAUC